ACGGUGGAUAUAAAAUUUUUUGCAGUAGGAGGUACUACUCUCGUGGCACUGUAGUUUUCCGAACCAUUUCAGCUUUUGCGAUCAGAUAAAUUAGUUGUUUUUAAAGAGUUAUCGCAAAUUAUAAGGAUUUUUUUUUAUCGUCGAUUUAAAAAUAAACCUUUAAAAAAAGAGGUUCAACUGCUAUUGAAAUAUUUCCUAAUAACACAAUCUCUGAAUUAUAAUUUACUGAUUCAAUUUAAAAUGAAAUUAACCAAAUAACUUUACCAAUCGAUUUAUCGAAACAAUAAAUAUAUUUUGAGAUAUUAUAAAUUGGAUUUUUUUUCUUUCAUUUUUUAGAGUUUGGAUAGAUUGUAAAACGGUUCCCAAAUUCUCAAAUGAUUGUAGAAUUAUUCUCUAUAUUUUGGAAUAUUGUAAUUCGUGUGAGAAUAAUACAAUACAUGUAAAAAAAUAAAUUUUCUUUUUUCAAAUUUUUAUUUUUAUUCUUAAUUUUGAAAUUAGACAAAUGUGAAAUGAACCUUAAUUUCUAAACGAACUUAGUAGCAUGGACGAAAUAUACCUCGAUUCCAAGAUCAACCAACUGAUAGAGUAAUUGUGUACAGGGGGCCAUCAGAGAUGUUGCAGCUCGCUCGGUUAGCAACAACUGACAUGGAUGAGGACCACAACACGGAGGAGGAAAACACACUGCCUGAUUACAUUGUGGAGGUGCCAUAGUGAUGGUAGGAAGAUAGUGGAGCAGAAAUCGCUUUUUAAUUUUUUUAAAUUAGUUAUCGCUUUAUUUUGUAAUAAGCCCACCAUAUUAAGACCAGACGUUGAGGAAUGAAUUAAGAAUUAUUUGGUUGGAAACAACUUUCAAAGGUGAGGUUUCACCCUCACUUGUAGCUGUAGCUGCCGUUAUCGCUCCGACCUCCGUGGAUAGAUUAGCGUCUAUCACCAACAGAUUUUUGAUCCAAUAAAAUUCUGUGUGAUUGCUUUAUAUAUCUAGUUUCUUUGAGCCUCCAGCACCCAAAUUGUCACCAACAUGAAUGAAAAAAGCUGUUUAACCUGAAUUCUUUCGAUUUUCAAUAUCUCUUCCCCAAUUAGUAAAAACCUGAAAUAGAGAAAUUGGAUCCAGAUACAUAUUAUUUCAAUAUUGAGAUUCAGGUCCAUAAGUUUAGUGGGAUGC
RNAcentral lists this long non-coding RNA (1162 nucleotides) under Zostera marina. RNAcentral's name for it is "long non-coding RNA (ZMAR_LNC002103)". The record is from RNAcentral. Lineage: Eukaryota; Viridiplantae; Streptophyta; Magnoliopsida; Alismatales; Zosteraceae.